This 414-nucleotide ribosomal RNA is filed under the name uncultured microorganism. Its description in RNAcentral is "bacterial SSU rRNA". It matches the Rfam family "Archaeal small subunit ribosomal RNA", at positions 459 to 872 of the family's 1478-position model. The record is from RNAcentral.
CAGCCGCCGCGGUAAUACCGGCGGCCCGAGUGGCGGUCACUAUUAUUGGGCUUAAAGCGUCCGUAGCCGGGUUGGGAAGGCCUCCGGGAAAUCUGGCCGCUUAACGGUCAGAAUGCCGGAGGAUACUCCCAGCCUAGGGAGCGGGAGAGGCCGAGGGUAUUCCCGGAGUAGGGGUGGAAUCCUAUAAUCCCGGGAGGACCACCUGUGGCGAAGGCGCUCGGCUGGAACGCGUCCGACGGUGAGGGACGAAGGCCAGGGGAGCAAACCGGAUUAGAUACCCGGGUAGUCCUGGCUGUAAACGAUGCGGACUUUGUGUCGGACAAGCUAUGAGCUUGUCCGGUGCCGGAGGGAAACCGUUAAGUCCGCCGCCUGGGGAGUACGGCCGCAAGGCUGAAACUUAAAGGAAUUGGCGGG